Molecule: ribosomal RNA, 388 nt
Filed under: Clostridioides difficile
Lineage: Bacteria; Bacillati; Bacillota; Clostridia; Peptostreptococcales; Peptostreptococcaceae
Description: bacterial SSU rRNA
Rfam family: Bacterial small subunit ribosomal RNA
Source: RNAcentral
CUCUGUCCUCAAGGAAGAUAAUGACGGUACUUGAGGAGGAAGCCCCGGCUAACUACGUGCCAGCAGCCGCGGUAAUACGUAGGGGGCUAGCGUUAUCCGGAUUUACUGGGCGUAAAGGGUGCGUAGGCGGUCUUUCAAGUCAGGAGUGAAAGGCUACGGCUCAACCGUAGUAAGCUCUUGAAACUGGGAGACUUGAGUGCAGGAGAGGAGAGUGGAAUUCCUAGUGUAGCGGUGAAAUGCGUAGAUAUUAGGAGGAACACCAGUUGCGAAGGCGGCUCUCUGGACUGUAACUGACGCUGAGGCACGAAAGCGUGGGGAGCAAACAGGAUUAGAUACCCUGGUAGUCCACGCUGUAAACGAUGAGUACUAGGUGUCGGGGGUUACCCCC